UCUGGAGGAUACAGAAAGCAUAGCCUGAUGAAACAAGACUCUUCUGAUACAAUCCUCCUACUAAAAGGGUUCAGAGAGAGCAGCCCUGCCUGAGGACCCUCAGAGGACUAGCUGCACCUCCCAACAUUC
This is a non-coding RNA of Sorex fumeus (smoky shrew), 129 nucleotides long. RefSeq annotates it as small Cajal body-specific RNA 4. The transcript has a single exon. The record is from RefSeq and is a predicted model, not a curated record. Lineage: Eukaryota; Metazoa; Chordata; Mammalia; Eulipotyphla; Soricidae.